GACGAACCGUGCGAACGUUGUUCGGAAUCACUGGGCUUAAAGGGCGCGUAGGCGACUGUCCAGUCAGGGGUGAAAUCCUGCGGCUCAACCGUAGAAGUGCCUUUGAUACUGACAGUCUCGAGGGAGGUAGGGGCGUGCGGAACUUCCGGUGGAGCGGUGAAAUGCGUAGAUAUCGGAAGGAACACCGGUGGCGAAAGCGGUGCGCUGGACCUCUUCUGACGCUGAGGCGCGAAAGCCAGGGGAGCGAACGGGA
RNAcentral lists this ribosomal RNA (253 nucleotides) under uncultured bacterium. RNAcentral describes it as "partial 16S ribosomal RNA". It matches the Rfam family "Bacterial small subunit ribosomal RNA", at positions 524 to 777 of the family's 1533-position model. The record is from RNAcentral.